RNAcentral lists this ribosomal RNA (254 nucleotides) under uncultured bacterium. RNAcentral describes it as "partial 16S ribosomal RNA". It matches the Rfam family "Bacterial small subunit ribosomal RNA", at positions 526 to 779 of the family's 1533-position model. The record is from RNAcentral.
CGUAGGGUCCGAGCGUUGUCCGGAAUUAUUGGGCGUAAAGGGCUCGUAGGCGGUUUGUCGCGUCGGGAGUGAAAACACCGGGCUUAACUCGGUGCUUGCUUUCGAUACGGGCAGACUGGAGGUAUGCAGGGGAGAACGGAAUUCCUGGUGUAGCGGUGAAAUGCGCAGAUAUCAGGAGGAACACCGGUGGCGAAGGCGGUUCUCUGGGCAUUACCUGACGCUGAGGAGCGAAAGUGUGGGGAGCGAACAGGAUU